This 275-nucleotide ribosomal RNA is filed under the name uncultured Singulisphaera sp. RNAcentral describes it as "partial 16S ribosomal RNA". It matches the Rfam family "Bacterial small subunit ribosomal RNA", at positions 338 to 611 of the family's 1533-position model. Lineage: Bacteria; Pseudomonadati; Planctomycetota; Planctomycetia; Isosphaerales; Isosphaeraceae. The record is from RNAcentral.
CCUACGGGUGGCUGCAGUCGAGGAUCUUCGGCAAUGGGCGCAAGCCUGACCGAGCGACGCCGCGUGGAGGAUGAAGGCCUUCGGGUUGUAAACUCCUGUCGAGGGGGAGCAAGGCCGCGCGAAGAGCGUGGCCCGAGCGAUCCCUGGAGGAAGCACGGGCUAAGUUCGUGCCAGCAGCCGCGGUAAGACGAACCGUGCGAACGUUAUUCGGAAUCACUGGGCUUAAAGCGCGUGUAGGCGGGCCGGCCCGUCGGCAGCUGAAAUCCCCCGGCUCA